Molecule: ribosomal RNA, 455 nt
Filed under: uncultured cyanobacterium
Lineage: Bacteria; Bacillati; Cyanobacteriota
Description: bacterial SSU rRNA
Rfam family: Bacterial small subunit ribosomal RNA
Source: RNAcentral
ACGGAACUUCGGGUUUAGUCGCGGACGGGUGAGUACGCGUGAGAAUCUGCCUCUAGGUCGGGGACAACAACUGGAAACGGUUGCUAAUACCCGAUGUGCAGCAAUGUGAAAGAUUUAUUGCCUAGAGAUGAGCUCGCGUCUGAUUAGCUAGUAGGUGUGGUAAUGGCGCACCUAGGCGACGAUCAGUAACUGGUCUGAGAGGAUAACCAGUCACACUGGGACUGAGACACGGCCCAGACUCCUACGGGAGGCAGCAGUGGGGAAUUUUCCGCAAUGGGCGAAAGCCUGACGGAGCAAUACCGCGUGAGGGACGAAGGCUUUUGGGUCGUAAACCUCUUUUCCCUGAGAAGAAGAUCUGACGGUAUCAGGAGAAUCAGCAUCGGCUAACUUCGUGCCAGCAGCCGCGGUAAUACGAGGGAUGCAAGCGUUAUCCGGAAUUAUUGGGCGUAAAGCGU